CAUUUUGAAGCGGCAUCUGUUCUGAAAGACCAGAACGAGUAUGCAGUGCAUGGACUGUGAUGUUGUCAUGGCGUCUGCUGGAAUGAGGCCUAGGCUUGUUAACUUCAAGGAUGCUUACAAGUGAAAUUGUGCACCUUUUGCAGUGGAUUUAUUUUUAUGGUGGAACUACUUGUCCUGAGGAAGUGCAGUCAAUUGUUUUCUAGUAAUGUAAGCCAUCAAACUUGACAAGACCUAAAGGGCCGGAGUUGUGUAGAGGAGCAUUGUGCUGUUAAAAAUGGAAUGGGUUUAACUCCCUAACAGGUGGCACACAUUAAGUUGGCUGAGCAGAUGAAAGUACUGCAACAGAUUUGUACCCCUCCGGAAGUUCUGCACCAUUGAAUAUGGCAAGGUUUUCCAUGAUCGAGCAAUUUACUGUUCCAUAUUUCCCUAGAGGUUGACUUGAUAGAUCUUUACAGAAAAGGUUGCUGAACCAUGUACUAUUCUUCUGAAUUUUCCUAGAGGUUGACUUAACUAGAUGCUGCUGUAUCUUUACAGAAAAGGUUGCUGCAUUCAGAUCUUUGAAGUUCAGUCCUUUUAUCUCUACUGCCAAUAUUUGAGCUACACUGUACAAAACUACCCUUAACCGCAUUAGACCAUGUUAAAUUGGCUAAAAUUAAUGGGCAUUUUGCCAUUGCUACUGUAAGAACUUGUAAGACAAUAAAGCUGUUGGUCUAAACUUCCCAUAAGAUCAGCCUUUCCUUGGCUGUGGUGUUUUACCAGUUUAUUGAUGUACAUGGCCUUUUGUUUUCAAUUGUUUACAUUCAGCAUGUGUUAAGUAUAGCUUUAAGUAAUCUGUUCAACUAAUACACUAUUUUAAAGAUCUAAGGUGGCAGAUUCCUUCAGAUAAAGCAUUGACCCAUCUAAAUUUCUUUUCAGAAGAGUUAAUUUGUGCACAGAUAUACAACACUGCAAGUCUGUACUUUUUUGUUAUAGCAGUGUAGAUUUUGAUCCAGCAAUGAUAUGUGUCUUGGCUAAAUCCAUGGUAAUUCUUUGCCCAAAAACAUGUGAACUAGAAUAUAAAGCCUUUGUCCAUUGUUACAUUUAAACACUUUUUUUUUUUUUUGGACAAACUAGAGUCUAACAUGCCCUUCUAUAAAAUGCAUUUUAGUAGUGGGUCUGGAACAGAAGUAUAACUGUUUUAUGAAUAAACCUGUCUUGGUCUUAAAGCACAUGAG
Long non-coding RNA from Xyrauchen texanus (razorback sucker), 1214 nucleotides. RefSeq lists it as uncharacterized. The record is from RefSeq and is a predicted model, not a curated record. The transcript has 12 exons. NCBI's taxonomy places the organism in Eukaryota, Metazoa, Chordata, Actinopteri, Cypriniformes, Catostomidae.